AGUGAACGCUGGCGGUAGGCCUAACACAUGCAAGUCGAACGGCAGCACAGUGAGAGCUUGCUCUUACGGGUGGCGAGUGGCGGACGGGUGAGGAAUACAUCGGAAUCUACUUUUUCGUGGGGGAUAACGUAGGGAAACUUACGCUAAUACCGCAUACGACCUACGGGUGAAAGCAGGGGAUCUUCGGACCUUGCGCGAUUGAAUGAGCCGAUGUCGGAUUAGCUAGUUGGCGGGGUAAAGGCCCACCAAGGCGACGAUCCGUAGCUGGUCUGAGAGGAUGAUCAGCGAGACAGGAACUGAGAAAGGGGCCAGACUCGGAAGGGCGGCAGCAGUGGGGAAUGGUGGGCAAAGGGGGGAAGCCUGAUCCAGAAAUAACGCGGGUGGGAAGAAGGACGUCGGGUUUGAAAGCCCUUUGGUUGGGAAAGAAAAGAAGCAGGUUAAUACCCAGAUGUUCUGACGGUACCCAAAGAAGAAGCACCGGCUAACUUCGUG
Molecule: ribosomal RNA, 492 nt
Filed under: uncultured bacterium
Lineage: Bacteria
Description: partial 16S ribosomal RNA
Rfam family: Bacterial small subunit ribosomal RNA
Source: RNAcentral